CGGGCGCCUCGCCGGCCCCGGCCCUGCUGCCCUUGGCGGCCAUGAGGGCGCCGCGGGAGAGGCGCUCGCAGAGCCAGGCGAAGAGCAGCCCGAGCUGGAAGGCGACGAAGCGGAGCAGGGCGAAGGCGGCGAAGAGCGGAUGAAACAGUGCAGCACCGACGUGUGGGUAUGACAGGCCACCUCACUCCUGCGCCCCAGACCUGCAGGCAGCAGCCUGGGCUGCCCCAGAAGUACAGCGAGAGACUGUGAGCUGCUUCAGCGCACCAGCCCGCUUCCCCAGUUUAUAGCAAGAAACUUGGGGAGGUGGGGUGUGUUAACCAAAAGGAUAUGCCAAACUGAAAUCACUACUGUCCCCAGUGUUUCAUUGCCUUUUCCUAAAUUAGUAUGAAAGUAGUGGGUUUUUUCUUUUUUGCUUAUACCACAUAUAGUUACUUAUAGCACAGAAAGUUCCUCCUGGUGAUGUGUAUUGUUUUUCUUAAAUGACCGAGGAGUGUUUUUCUUGUCAAUGACAAACCCAGUAUUAGUUUUCUUACUGUAUAAAAUACAGAAUUUUAUUAACAUAUAAACAUCUAACAUAAAAGAACUAUUCAUGACCUUGAACCAUUAUUAGACAGAAACAAUAAACUUAUCAGCACCGGAAAAAAACGCA
Non-coding RNA from Phalacrocorax carbo (great cormorant), 649 nucleotides. The record is from RefSeq and is a predicted model, not a curated record. Lineage: Eukaryota; Metazoa; Chordata; Aves; Suliformes; Phalacrocoracidae.